This 253-nucleotide ribosomal RNA is filed under the name uncultured bacterium. RNAcentral describes it as "partial 16S ribosomal RNA". It matches the Rfam family "Bacterial small subunit ribosomal RNA", at positions 524 to 776 of the family's 1533-position model. The record is from RNAcentral.
UACGUAGGGGGCAAGCGUUGUCCGGAAUCAUUGGGCGUAAAGAGCGUGUAGGCGGCUCGGUAAGUCCGCUCUGAAAGCCCGGGGCUCAACCCCGGGAGGCGGGCGGAUACUGUCGGGCUAGAGUCCGGAAGAGGCGAGUGGAAUUCCUGGUGUAGCGGUGAAAUGCGCAGAUAUCAGGAGGAACACCGGUGGCGAAGGCGGAUCUCUGGGCCGAUACUGACGCUGAGGAGCGAAAGCGUGGGGAGCGAACAGG